GAUGAACGCUGGCGGCGUGCCUAAUACAUGCAAGUCGAGCGAACAGAUAAGGAGCUUGCUCCUUUGACGUUAGCGGCGGACGGGUGAGUAACACGUGGGUAACCUACCUAUAAGACUGGGAUAACUUCGGGAAACCGGAGCUAAUACCGGAUAAUAUUUCGAACCGCAUGGUUCGAUAGUGAAAGAUGGUUUUGCUAUCACUUAUAGAUGGACCCGCGCCGUAUUAGCUAGUUGGUAAGGUAACGGCUUACCAAGGCGACGAUACGUAGCCGACCUGAGAGGGUGAUCGGCCUCACUGGAACUGAGACACGGUCCAGACUCCUACGGGAGGCAGCAGUAGGGAAUCUUCCGCAAUGGGCGAAAGCCUGACGGAGCAACGCCGCGUGAGUGAUGAAGGUCUUCGGAUCGUAAAACUCUGUUAUUAGGGAAGAACAUACGUGUAAGUAACUGUGCACGUCUUGACGGUACCUAAUCAGAAAGCCACGGCUAACUACGUG
This 497-nucleotide ribosomal RNA is filed under the name uncultured bacterium. Its description in RNAcentral is "partial 16S ribosomal RNA". It matches the Rfam family "Bacterial small subunit ribosomal RNA", at positions 28 to 507 of the family's 1533-position model. The record is from RNAcentral.